RNAcentral lists this ribosomal RNA (465 nucleotides) under uncultured bacterium. Its description in RNAcentral is "partial 16S ribosomal RNA". It matches the Rfam family "Bacterial small subunit ribosomal RNA", at positions 28 to 507 of the family's 1533-position model. The record is from RNAcentral.
GACGAACGCUGGCGGCGUGCUUAACACAUGCAAGUCGAACGGAAAGGCCCUGCUUGCAGGGUACUCGAGUGGAGAACGGGUGAGUAACACGUGGGUGAUCUGCCCUGCACUUCGGGAUAAGCCUGGGAAACUGGGUCUAAUACCGGAUAGGAGCCAUUUUUAGUGUGAUGGUUGGAAAGUUUUUUCGGUGUAGGGUGAGCUCGCGGCCUAUCAGCUUGUUGGUGGGGUAAUGGCCUACCAAGGCGGCGACGGGUAGCCGGCCUGAGAGGGUGGACGGCCACAUUGGGACUGAGAUACGGCCCAGACUCCUACGGGAGGCAGCAGUGGGGAAUAUUGCACAAUGGGCGCAAGCCUGAUGCAGCGACGCCGCGUGGGGGAUGACGGCCUUCGGGUUGUAAACUCCUUUCGCUAGGGACGAAGCUUUUUGUGACGGUACCUAGAGAAGAAGCACCGGCUAACUACGUG